GGGAGAGAGCGCCACUGGGACCAGGUUGUUAUCUUUCCAAGAUGACAGGAAACUCUCGGAAAAGGAGCAUGAACUGCAUUCUGAGGUUAAUUCCCAUUGGCCCUGUGCGUACAGCUCUCAGCCAGCCCCCUCCUCACCUGCAGGCUUCCUGGGACCUCAGGCCAGCAGAGCCAGGAGGCUCAGGGGCAGGAGCACGGCGGCCAUGGAGAGACGGAGGGUGAUCCCGGAGUUGGGAGGUCCCUUGGCGUUGACCAAGGCCUCAUUCUCUUUCCUGAGGAGGAGAUG
Molecule: long non-coding RNA, 285 nt
Organism: Myotis daubentonii (Daubenton's bat)
Lineage: Eukaryota; Metazoa; Chordata; Mammalia; Chiroptera; Vespertilionidae
Source: RefSeq, a predicted model, not a curated record